Anolis carolinensis (green anole) is the source of this 1152-nucleotide long non-coding RNA. Lineage: Eukaryota; Metazoa; Chordata; Lepidosauria; Squamata; Anolidae. The record is from Ensembl.
GUCCAGGGUGGGAGAAAGUACUCUUGUCUGCUUAAGGCAAGUGUGGAUGUUGCAAUUGGCCACCUUGAUUAGCUUUGAAUUGCCUUGCAUCUUCAAAGCCUGGCUGCUUCCUGCCUGGGGGGAUCCUUUGUUGGGAGGUGUUAGCUGGCCCUGAUUGUUUCAUGUCUGGAAUUCCUCUGUUUUUGAGUGUUUUUUUACUGUCCGGAUUUUAUUUAUUUAUUUCCCAUACUUGUGUCCCGCCCUUCUCACCCCGAAGUUUUGGGGGGGGGGGCAAAGUUCUGUUCGCCUACACUUGAAAAUUACAUUGGGCUGGAUCUGCCCAUGACUGUGCUUUGACCUGUUUUAAAACCAACAGAGCAGGGGCUGAACUGAAUCAGACCUCUAUUGUGAUUGGAGGAAUUGUAACCCUUUACCCACAUCCUUCGAUACCACAGUUCUGAUCAGAGUUUGCAAACAGAGUAAAGCUCCAGUCAUCAUCAUCAUCAUCAUCAUCAUCAUCAUCUUCACAUGACGUUGAUUGACUACAAAAAGGCCUUUGACUCACUCCAACACAUCAAGUGCCUGGACGCCAUCGGGAUUUGUAAAAACGUUGGCACCUUUAUUGAAAACAUGAUGGUGCCAACGUUUUUACUAAUCCCGAUGGCGUCCAGGCACUUGAUGAUCCAGCUGUGUGGGAGUGAGUCAAAGGCCUUUUUGUAGUCAAUCCACGUCAUGUGAAGAUUAGCUUUUCGGCUUUUACAGUUCUCCAGAAUCAUUUUGUCAAUCAAUAACUGGUCUUUUGUGCUCCUGCUUUUCCGUUUGUUGCCUUUCUGUUCAUCUGGCAAGAUGUUUUUUUCUUCAAGAUAGUCUUGAAUUCUAUCAGCCAUGAUGCCAGUCAGUAGUUUAAACAUAGUGGGCAGACACGUUAUUGGCCUGUAGUUUCCUGGUGGUGAUCCUUUUGCGGGAUCCUUUUGUAUCAGGUAUGUACUUCCAGUUGUUAGCCAUUCACUGAUACUUCCUUUCUGCAGCAUCUCAUUAAAUUGUUGGGCCAUUUUUCCAUGUAAACUAAUCAGAUGUUUGAGCCAAAAUCCAUGAAGUUGAUCACUACCAGGCGAUGUCCAGUUCUUGACUUUUUGCACUCAUUUGCUGAUCAUUUCAGUUGUUAUUUCCAUC